Molecule: ribosomal RNA, 1499 nt
Filed under: uncultured rumen bacterium
Lineage: Bacteria
Description: bacterial SSU rRNA
Rfam family: Bacterial small subunit ribosomal RNA
Source: RNAcentral
AGAGUUUGAUCCUGGCUCAGGACGAACGCUGGCGGCGUGCCUAACACAUGCAAGUCGAGCGGGGACAGGCAGGAGGAGAGCUACGGCAGGAAUCCGGCCUGUUCGAGCGGCGGACGGGUGAGUAACGCGUGAACAAUCUGUCCCUGACAGGGGGAUAACACAUGGAAACAGGUGCUAAUACCGCAUGAGACCACAUUGCCACAUGGCAGAGGGGUCAAAGGAGGAAUCCGGUCAGGGGUGAGUUCGCGUCUGAUUAGCUGGUUGGUGAGGUAACGGCCCACCAAGGCGACGAUCAGUAGCCGACCUGAGAGGGUGAACGGCCACAUUGGAACUGAGAGACGGUCCAAACUCCUACGGGAGGCAGCAGUGGGGAAUAUUGGGCAAUGGGCGAAAGCCUGACCCAGCAACGCCGCGUGAGGGAAGAAGGUUUUCGGAUUGUAAACCUCUGUCCCUGGGGACGAAGGGAGUGACGGUACCCAGGGAGGAAGCCCCGGCUAACUACGUGCCAGCAGCCGCGGUAAUACGUAGGGGGCGAGCGUUGUCCGGAAUGACUGGGCGUAAAGGGCGCGUAGGCGGCUGUUUAAGUUAGGAGUGAAAGUCCAGCUUUUAAGGUUGGAAUUGCUUUUAAUACUGGACGGCUUGAGUGCGGAAGAGGUAAGUGGAAUUCCCCAGUGUAGCGGUGAAAUGCGUAGAGAUUGGGAGGAACACCAGUGGCGAAGGCGACUUACUGGGCCGUAACUGACGCUGAGGCGCGAAAGCGUGGGGAGCGAACAGGAUUAGAUACCCUGGUAGUCCACGCGGUAAACGAUGAAUGCUAGGUGUAGGGGGUAUCGACCCCUUCUGUGCCGGAGUAAACGCAAUAAGCAUUCCGCCUGGGGAGUACGGCCGCAAGGUUGAAACUCAAAGGAAUUGACGGGGGCCCGCACAAGCAGCGGAGCAUGUGGUUUAAUUCGACGCAACGCGAAGAACCUUACCAGGUCUUGACAUCAAUCCAGUGCGCUAGAGAUAGCGCAGCCCUUCGGGGGGAGAAGACAGGUGGUGCAUGGUUGUCGUCAGCUCGUGUCGUGAGAUGUUGGGUUAAGUCCCGCAACGAGCGCAACCCUUAUGAUCAGUUACUAACGGGUAGAGCCGAGGACUCUGAUGAGACUGCCGGGGACAACUCGGAGGAAGGUGGGGACGACGUCAAAUCAUCAUGCCCCUUAUGACCUGGGCUACACACGUGCUACAAUGGUGGCAACAAAGAGGUGCGAAGCCGUAAGGCGGAGCGGAUCUCAAAAAAGCCAUCCCAGUUCGGAUUGUGGGCUGCAACCCGCCCACAUGAAGUUGGAGUUGCUAGUAAUCGCGAAUCAGCAUGUCGCGGUGAAUACGUUCCCGGGCCUUGUACACACCGCCCGUCACACCAUGGGAGUUGGGAGCACCCGAAGUCAGUGAGCUAACGAAAGAGGCAGCUGCCGAAGGUGAGACCGAUGACUGGGGUGAAGUCGUAACAAGGUAGCGUA